ACAAACACUUAGUGAAAUUUUUUUCACCCUUUCACCAAAUCUCAGAAGGCGUCGUAUCCCCCAACCCCUAAUCUGAUGAACCCCCUUUGUCUCUCUUCUCUGUUCUAUCUCAUCACUCUCUUUUCUGUUCUCUCGUCACUCUCCCACCUCGCCUCGUCGCUCUCACCUCUCAUCUCCGGUCUCUAGCUCACUUCUCUCUCGGUCUCGCACUCACGUCUCAGACUUAAGCUCGUCGUUGCCGUUUGUGUCGUCACCAUCACGCACUCAGUCGCCGCCUUCACUGCGCUCACUGUGCUCACCUCGGGUAGUGGUGGUCUUCGUCUUCUUGUUUCGGCCAGUAGUUCAGUUGCUCAGCUUUCUUCACCAUCGGUCCUAGGACGAGUAACCGGAGGUGCAAGGACCUGGAGUGUGGGUGUCAACUGAGAGAGGUGCAACAAAUAGUCCAAUAAGAGUAUAGCGAUGUUUCUGCAUACCGAUUAUCUCUAUCAGAGGAUACGAAAGCUCUCAAUCAGCUGCUUCCUGAUUCGAUGAAGCAAAGUCAAGCUGAUUUAUAUUUGGAAACAUAUCAAGUUCUGGACUUGGAAAUGAGUCAUUUGUGUGAAAUUCAACGAUGGCAAGCAUCAGCUUCAUCAAAGUUAGCUGCUAAUAUGCAACAUUUUUUUAGGCCUGAGCGACGCAUUAAUGGCCCUACAAUAUCUCAUUUGUGGUCUAUGCUGAAGUUACUUGAUGUUUUGGUGCAACUUGAUCAUCUUAAAAAUGCUAAGGCAAGCAUACCUAAUGACUUUUCUUAGUAUAAAAGAACUUUCACACAAGUCAGCGGUCAGUGGCAAGACACUAAUUCAAUGAGGGAAGAGUUGGAUGAUUUACAGAUUUUCUUGAGCACAAGAUGGGCUAUCUUGUUGAACCUGCAUGUUGAGAUGUUCCGCGUGAACAAUGUGGAAGACAUUCUUCAAGUACUUAUAGUCUUUGUUGUAGAGUCUCUGGAGUUGGACUGUGCACUUCUCUUUCCAGAGCGCCACAUACUCUUGCGUGUCUUGCCUAUUUUUGUUGUCCUAGUGACAUCAUCAGAGAAAGAUAGCGAGUCUUUGUACAAGAGAGUGAAAAUCAACAGACUGAUCAAUAUAUUUAAGGUAUUAUCGAUUUAGCUACGCGGCGCACAUCAUGCUUGUUUUUCCAGUUGUCUUCAAUCCCCUGCGAAUCAACUUAGAUGGCCUCAUCUUUUCAUCUUCUUCAAGGCCUUUGCUUCAAGAUAACUUGAUAUUCACGUCACUAACCUUAUCUCUUAUUUUUCUAAUAUUUUCAAAUUAAAGUUAUUAGCUUUAGUGUGUGAUGUAUGAAUAUUUAUGAUUAACUUAAUUCUAGUACUUUUGGAUCAUUAUUAUAAAUAUAUUUUGG
Molecule: RNA transcript, 1395 nt
Organism: Arachis stenosperma
Lineage: Eukaryota; Viridiplantae; Streptophyta; Magnoliopsida; Fabales; Fabaceae
Gene name: protein PIR-like
Exons: 9
Source: RefSeq, a predicted model, not a curated record